Molecule: unclassified non-coding RNA, 1701 nt
Filed under: Hevea brasiliensis (rubber tree)
Lineage: Eukaryota; Viridiplantae; Streptophyta; Magnoliopsida; Malpighiales; Euphorbiaceae
Source: RNAcentral
CAAGGACCGCCACACCAAAGUCGAGGGCCGUGGUCGUAGGAUCCGAAUACCCGCCACAUGCGCCGCCCGGAUAUUCCAACUUACCAGAGAACUAGGCCACAAAUCAGACGGCGAAACCGUUAGAUGGCUUCUGGAGCACGCCGAACAAGCCAUUAUUCAAGCUACAGGCACUGGGACCGUCCCCUCCAUCGCCGUUUCCGUUGGUGGAACCCUCAAAAUCCCCGCAACCACCAACGAUACCAACAAUUCAUUAACCGAAACAACAAAGAAACGGAAACGGCCCUCAAAUUCUGAGUUCUGCGAUAUAAGCGAAGCAACUGUUUCCGUUUCACAGAGCUCUGGGCUUGCUCCGGUGACGCCGACGACUCCAUUUGCUGCGACUGCGACCCCUCAAGGAUUGGUGCCCAUGUGGGCUGUGGGUAGCGCAGGGAUGAUGGUACCCGCAAAUGCUUUUUGGAUGAUCCCGCAAGCCGCCACGCUGUCGGGUACUCCUGCAUUUGUGGCGGCAGCUGGCCUGGUUGGGCAGCCGACCCAGACGCAGCAGCCACAAAUAUGGGCAUUAUCACCGUCAAUAACGUCGGUAUUCAACGUGGCAGCAGCGAGGCCCAUAUCAACGUUUGUGGGGGCAACGAAUACUAUUAAUAAUCAGUCAUCUAUAGGGAGCGUGGUGAAUAUACCGAGUGGCGUGGAGGUUAGGGCAGCGUCAGCAGUGGUGAGUAGCACAUCGGUUGGGGCGAAGGAGGCGAAGAAGUCGACGAUGGCUCCAAGUGCUAGUUCUAGCGGUGGGAGCGUUAGCAGUGGAGGAAAAGCUCAACUGCUGAAGGACUUUUCUUUGGAGAUAUUCGAUAAGCAAGAGUUGCAGUUGAUGGGUCGUCCUGGUAAACAGCAACCCCUUCCCCAAGGUUCAAAAAUAUAAUUACAUGCAUAAAUAGAACAAUUUUUAAGUUUAGGCCUUUUUCUUUUUCUUUGUUGCUUGUGUUUUUAGUGUCGUAGAAUUUAAUUGUCCUUGCAGUAUUAUACACAUCUCACCAUGAAACUUCUUGUUUCUUGUUCAUGUGCUCGUGCUUUUACCAUUACUUUCCAUGGCAAGAAGCUAAUUGGCAUCUGCAGCUCCAACGAACUAGGUACAAAAUAGCCAUGAUUGACUUGACCGUAUAGCCUACUUUAUGUCAUAUAUCCUUUACUUCAUUAAUAUAGGGAAAAUUUUAUUGGGAGGUAUUUAUAAAUAAAAAUGCAUAUUAAUGUGGUUUUAGGGUAACAAAGUUGGUUUGAAUGCAUGCAUGCAUGCCAAUGUUAUAAUAUAUAGAGACAGGAUAAUUUUAUAUCCUUGUAUAAUUCUAAUUAUUCAUACAUGUAAAAUGCUAUUAUGGACGUUGGUAAUAUAUAUUGUAUCGGAGAAUUAGCCUUUUUAAUUAAGCUACAUCUACAACCGUAUAGGUAGUUCGGGAGUAGGUUAACUAAGCAAAAAAGUUUAGACUUGAACGCUACGCACGUGACCAAAGAUACCCACGUGUGGUCUUCGUUUCGUGGUGUGCUCCACCACCACCUACAGCUAUAACUGGUGGGUCAACAAGCAAAAACUGGUGAGAGGUUGGUCGAGAGAAUCACCCUCUCCAAUCUCCACACUCUUGAUAAGGAAAAAUUAUAUAAUAAAGCCCUUUGUUGAAUAAAAUCCUCCGUCGCUUUGGCCUUUCCUUGGAC